Molecule: long non-coding RNA, 639 nt
Filed under: Mustela putorius furo (domestic ferret)
Lineage: Eukaryota; Metazoa; Chordata; Mammalia; Carnivora; Mustelidae
Description: lncRNA (ENSMPUG00000026831.1)
Source: RNAcentral
UGCAAACUGAGCUUGCCUCUCUCGGAGCGCGGAGGCCGGGAGGGAGGGCCCUGGAGCUGAGCAGGGCCGGGGCCGGACGGCGGACACUGCCUGCGGAUGGUGGGAGGGAGGCAGGAAGGCGAGACCGGGCGCCGGAGGCGGAUCACAGCCGCGGCAACGACGCGAACAAGAUUCCCCAUAAACAGCGGAUCUGUUUAUAGAGUCACCAGCGAAGGCACACACUGGACACAUGAUCUUGGAGAUUUUUCGAUGGAAGCACACCGUGUCCCGUAGUCUAUUUAGUAAGACUCUUCCAGGGGACAUUCAGCAUUUGUACUUCUUUUGCUACUUCCAACAACGAUGCAGCGGAUACCCUAGUGUGUAAGUCACUUUGUGCGUGUAUUGUGACAUGGACAUGGAAUUGCUUGCUCAAAGGGCAUUUGCAUUUUGCACAUUGAUAGGCUUCAUGGGGGGAAUUCAACGCAGGGGAUGCUGGGACCAGAUCUGUUUUAGGAAGAUCCGCUUGGAGGCACCAGGAUGAGGCGAAGGAGGAAAGAGACAAGUGUGGAGGGUGUUGUGAUCGCACCAGGUGAAGUAUCAUGAGGGCCAGAGCAGAGCGCUGGCUGAGGAAAGGGAGAGAAGGGCACGUGUGGAAGAGAC